GAUGAACGCUGGCGGCGUGCCUAAUACAUGCAAGUCGAGCGAACGGACGAGAAGCUUGCUUCUCUGAUGUUAGCGGCGGACGGGUGAGUAACACGUGGAUAACCUACCUAUAAGACUGGGAUAACUUCGGGAAACCGGAGCUAAUACCGGAUAAUAUUUUGAACCGCAUGGUUCAAAAGUGAAAGACGGUCUUGCUGUCACUUAUAGAUGGAUCCGCGCUGCAUUAGCUAGUUGGUAAGGUAACGGCUUACCAAGGCAACGAUGCAUAGCCGACCUGAGAGGGUGAUCGGCCACACUGGAACUGAGACACGGUCCAGACUCCUACGGGAGGCAGCAGUAGGGAAUCUUCCGCAAUGGGCGAAAGCCUGACGGAGCAACGCCGCGUGAGUGAUGAAGGUCUUCGGAUCGUAAAACUCUGUUAUUAGGGAAGAACAUAUGUGUAAGUAACUGUGCACAUCUUGACGGUACCUAAUCAGAAAGCCACGGCUAACUACGUGCCAGCAGCCGCGGUAAUACGUAGGUGGCAAGCGUUAUCCGGAAUUAUUGGGCGUAAAGCGCGCGUAGGCGGUUUUUUAAGUCUGAUGUGAAAGCCCACGACUCAACCGUGGAGGGUCAUUGGAAACUGGAAAACUUGAGUGCAGAAGAGGAAAGUGGAAUUCCAUGUGUAGCGGUGAAAUGCGCAGAGAUAUGGAGGAACACCAGUGGCGAAGGCGACUUUCUGGUCUGUAACUGACGCUGAUGUGCGAAAGCGUGGGGAUCAAACAGGAUUAGAUACCCUGGUAGUCCACGCCGUAAACGAUGAGUGCUAAGUGUUAGGGGGUUUCCGCCCCUUAGUGCUGCAGCUAACGCAUUAAGCACUCCGCCUGGGGAGUACGACCGCAAGGUUGAAACUCAAAGGAAUUGACGGGGACCCGCACAAGCGGUGGAGCAUGUGGUUUAAUUCGAAGCAACGCGAAGAACCUUACCAAAUCUUGACAUCCUUUGACAACUCUAGAGAUAGAGCUUUCCCCUUCGGGGGACAAAGUGACAGGUGGUGCAUGGUUGUCGUCAGCUCGUGUCGUGCGAUGUUGGGUUAAGUCCCGCAACGAGCGCAACCCUUAAGCUUAGUUGCCAUCAUUAAGUUGGGCACUCUAAGUUGACUGCCGGUGACAAACCGGAGGAAGGUGGGGAUGACGUCAAAUCAUCAUGCCCCUUAUGAUUUGGGCUACACACGUGCUACAAUGGACAAUACAAAGGGCAGCGAAACCGCGAGGUCAAGCAAAUCCCAUAAAGUUGUUCUCAGUUCGGAUUGUAGUCUGCAACUCGACUACAUGAAGCUGGAAUCGCUAGUAAUCGUAGAUCAGCAUGCUAUGGUGAAUACGUUCCCGGGUCU
RNAcentral lists this ribosomal RNA (1372 nucleotides) under uncultured bacterium. Its description in RNAcentral is "bacterial SSU rRNA". It matches the Rfam family "Bacterial small subunit ribosomal RNA", at positions 28 to 1381 of the family's 1533-position model. The record is from RNAcentral.